GGAAGACUCCAGCAGAGAGCAACUGGGACCUUGGAACUCGCUCGAUGCAAACGAGGCAGUAGUCCUGAAUGUACCAGUGAUAAGUCCUCUUUAGCAACUUGAGUAAAAGGAAAGGCAUGCGAGAUGGACCAGAGCGAUACUUGGACAUUCCGACAAACUUGCAUUGGGCUAAUGUGAGCCCCCUCAUAGAUCCAGAGAUUUCUGGCUUUCCAUAUUUCCCAACAAAUAAUGGCUGGUAAGAUUAUGUAUAGUUACCCCAUAGCCGAGUUUGAUGCGUAAGACCACCAAUGCUGCAGCCUCAGCAGAAUACCCGUUAAGGGUCAAACCGGGAGGUGAAGAGACCGAGUAAAAAAGUCCCAAACUAUCAUAGCAAAGGAACAAGCCGAUAGCACAUGAUCCCGGGAUUCCUCAUUUGGCAAAAUUGACAUUUUGAAGAAAGUUGAUACCCAAAGGAGUUCAAAGUUUCUGGGAAUUGCAAAAACUCAUUCAACAAUUUCCACAUGAAGAUGGAGAUUUGGCAAGAAUACGAUGGUCCCAAAUUAAUUUUCUGGACCCUAAACAUGAGCGCUUAGGCUAUAUUAGUUGUACCACUGAGGAGAUCGAGAACUGUCCAGAUGGUGUAAGAGUCCAGACCCACUUCCCUCCCUGGUCAUC
This 654-nucleotide long non-coding RNA is filed under the name Coffea arabica (coffee). RNAcentral describes it as "long non-coding RNA (CARA_LNC005371)". The record is from RNAcentral. Lineage: Eukaryota; Viridiplantae; Streptophyta; Magnoliopsida; Gentianales; Rubiaceae.